GCUGGUUCCGACUUUUGUCACGGUGGAAACCAUAUAUUUGAACGAAGAUGGUGGCGCCCUUCUGUCAAUGUCGUCGGUGGGACAUUUCAGUGUAGUUCAU
Long non-coding RNA from Ostrinia furnacalis (Asian corn borer), 100 nucleotides. RefSeq lists it as uncharacterized. The record is from RefSeq and is a predicted model, not a curated record. The transcript is spliced from 3 exons. Lineage: Eukaryota; Metazoa; Arthropoda; Insecta; Lepidoptera; Crambidae.